Phyllopteryx taeniolatus (common seadragon) is the source of this 653-nucleotide long non-coding RNA. RefSeq lists it as uncharacterized. The transcript is spliced from 4 exons. The record is from RefSeq and is a predicted model, not a curated record. NCBI's taxonomy places the organism in Eukaryota, Metazoa, Chordata, Actinopteri, Syngnathiformes, Syngnathidae.
AGAGGCAGGGGCUUUGGCAGCCUGAUUGAGCAUCAGGUCCUCAAAGAAAUUUCUUCUCUCUCGCCUGCAAGGGGCUUGGACAUGGUAAACCUCCCCAUACUCUACCUUAAACAACUCCUGAACCUGCAGAGAAAACAGAGCAUGGAGAACAGCAGGAGCCAGAUGGGAGGUUUGACCUGAGCCGUGUCGACCCUCCAAAAGGAGCCUGGGACGCUGGGACCAUCUUGGACAUGGCAGACAUGAAGUCUUUAGCUGUGAUUGCAAUAGAAUCAACAUCAAGCACAAGUUUCUCUGAUGAGGAGUAAAUUUGUGGAUAGCGGCGCCGUAGUGCACAUAGUGCCGCCUCUGAACACACCGCCUUGAUGUCUGCUCCACAAUAACCUGCAAGGGAGCAAUGGUCACCUGUGAAUCUGGUCCUGACGACUGGACCUGACUGGAGCCAAACCAUCAAUUUCAUCAAAGAAAAUGAUAGAUGGACGCAUUUGGUAAGCCUAGAUGAAAGUGAAAAUGUAGUGUUGAAGGGAAAGCAUAUUAAAGUGCUAUAUGGUAAAUAUAAACUAAUUCAAGGUGCACCAAAAUAAAGCAAGAGUGAGAUUUUAUCUGUGAUGAUGAAAGCUUGACAAAAGAUGAAAGAAAUUGUGUUGAUGAUUUUG